Molecule: small nucleolar RNA, 94 nt
Organism: Argentina anserina (silverweed cinquefoil)
Lineage: Eukaryota; Viridiplantae; Streptophyta; Magnoliopsida; Rosales; Rosaceae
Source: RefSeq, a predicted model, not a curated record
AGGAGAUAUGAUGAUGAAUAUCCCAUUGUUCCAUCACUGAAUUCAACUUUGAUGACAAAUCAACCAAAUUACAUGCACUACCAUCUGAUCUCUU